AAAUGCAGCCCAUGCCAUAACUGCUACACAACCAGUUCUGCAGUUCUGACUUCUAUUUUUUCCUUCAUCAGAGAUUAAACUAUGUGAACUCUUUGUUUCUUACAAGAAACAAAACAGGCCUCCAGUGGACAUUCAUCUGCAGAUUAAAAAUGAGCUUUUUUAAGCGACGCCGUCCCAAACCUGAGUUUUACACCUUUUUGGUUGAUAAACAAGUGAAAAUUGGAGAAGACGUGCUCCUGCAGUGUGAGAUAAACACAGGAAAAGUGAACGUGAUAUGGGAAAAGAACGGCCACAAACUGGAUCGUGUGGAAGGCAAACACAACACGGGAAAAACUGGCACAAUGAUUUAUCUGGAAAUCAGGAAUGCUGAAGCAGGAGAUGAAGCAAACUACACUGUGAUCAUAGAGAAUUCAUCAGGCCGUGUCUCGUGCAAUGCCAAUGUCACUGUUGGUAUGUAAGAAUUCUGACUUGCAUGAGGAAAUAAC
Molecule: long non-coding RNA, 485 nt
Filed under: Astyanax mexicanus (Mexican tetra)
Lineage: Eukaryota; Metazoa; Chordata; Actinopteri; Characiformes; Acestrorhamphidae
Description: lncRNA (ENSAMXG00005011625.1)
Source: RNAcentral